Zingiber officinale is the source of this 460-nucleotide long non-coding RNA. RefSeq lists it as uncharacterized. NCBI's taxonomy places the organism in Eukaryota, Viridiplantae, Streptophyta, Magnoliopsida, Zingiberales, Zingiberaceae. The transcript is spliced from 2 exons. The record is from RefSeq and is a predicted model, not a curated record.
ACCCCUAAUCCUGUUUCUCUCCUUCCUCCUCACGCGGCGUCCGCAACUCCUCCUCUCGGGCGAAACCACAACGAGGAGCUAGGGCUUCUCCGGUGGCCGGCCAAAGGGAUUCUGCGAGUUCUUCUCGGAUCCGAGCUUCCCCCGUCAAGAGGGAACUGUUAGCACGAAGAAGGGUCGGAGAUCUCGAGCUGUCCGAACCCUAGAAGUUUUUCCCAUUCGGUUUGAAACCAAGAACAUGCUAUACAGGAAAGGAAAAGAUUUAGCAAAGGAAGGCGACAAGGUGGCGCGGAUGGUGUGUGAUGCCAGGACUAUGGAAGUCUUGGGACUUAGUCUAAGAAUUUGUUAGAUUAAUUCUGUAUAUAGGUUGACAAGAAAAUUUAAGCUGUAAUUUAUUUUGUUUCCGUUGUUCAUUACUUGCAUGAUUUGAUUUUAUUAAACUGCGUGGUGAUGUUAUUUCUUU